RNAcentral lists this ribosomal RNA (1903 nucleotides) under bioreactor metagenome. Its description in RNAcentral is "bacterial LSU rRNA". It matches the Rfam family "Bacterial large subunit ribosomal RNA", at positions 1 to 1984 of the family's 2925-position model. The record is from RNAcentral.
GAAAGUAAAGAAGGGCGCACGGCGGAUGCCUAGGCUCUCAGAGGCGAAGAAGGACGCGACAAGCUGCGAAAAGCUGCGGGGAGGUGCACAUAACCUGUGAUCCGCAGAUCUCCGAAUGGGGCAACCCACCAGGUUGAAGGCCUGGUAUCCUGGAGCAAUUCAGGAGGCAAACCCGUUGAACUGAAACAUCUUAGUAGGCGGAGGAGAAGAAAACAAAAGUGAUUCCCCCAGUAGCGGCGAGCGAAGCGGGAAUAGCCCAAACCAAUCUUGUUUAGGCAGGGUUGGGGUAGUAGGACUGCAUAAAGAUAAUAUUAAUACGAAGUGGAAGCAUCUGGAAAGUUGCAUCAUAGAGGGUUAAAGUCCCGUACACGUAAGUAUGAUAUUACGAGCAGUAUCCUGAGUAACGCGGGACACGAGGAAUCUUGCGUGAAUCUGCCGGGACCAUCCGGUAAGGCUAAAUACUCCUGAGAGACCGAUAGUGAACCAGUACCGUGAGGGAAAGGUGAAAAGCACCCCUAACAGGGGAGUGAAAUAGUACCUGAAACCGUGCGCUUACAAACUGUUGGAGCCCUUUAGUGGGGUGACAGCGUGCCUUUUGCAUAAUGAGCCUACGAGUUAUACCUUGCCAGCGAGGUUAAGUGUUGUUAGACACGGAGCCGAAGCGAAAGCGAGUCUUGAAAGGGCGCUAAGUUGGCAGGGAUAGACGCGAAACCUAGUGAUCUACCCAUGGUCAGGUUGAAGUUUCGGUAACACGAAAUGGAGGACCGAACCGGUAAACGUUGAAAAGUUUUCGGAUGAACUGUGGGUAGGGGUGAAAGGCCAAUCAAACUGGGAAAUAGCUCGUACUCCCCGAAAUGCAUUUAGGUGCAGCCUCGAUUAAGAGUUAUCCAGAGGUAGAGCUACUGAUAGGACGCGAGGGCUUCACCGCCUAUCAAAUCCUGACAAACUCCGAAUGCUGGAUAAUGUUUUUCGAGAGUGAGGGCAUGGGUGCUAAGGUCCGUGUCCGAGAGGGAAAGAACCCAGACCAUCAGCUAAGGUCCCCAAAUGUAUGCUAAGUUGAAGAAAACGCGGUAUGGUUGCAGAGACAGCUAGGAUGUUGGCUUGGAAGCAGCCAUUCAUUUAAAGAGUGCGUAACAGCUCACUAGUCGAGCGACCGUGCAUGGAUAAUAAUCGGGCAUCAAGCAUACUACCGAAGCUAUGGAAUGAUACUUAGGUAUCAUUGGUAGGGGAGCAUUCCAGUCAGCGUCGAAGCAGUAUCGUGAGGUAUUGUGGAGCGUCUGGAAAAGCAAAUGUAGGCAUAAGUAACGAUAAUGGGGGUGAGAAACCCCCACGCCGAAAGACCAAGGAUUCCUGAUCAACGUUAAUCGGAUCAGGGUUAGUCGGGCCCUAACACGUACCCGUUAGGGGAAGUGGAUGGCAAACAGGUUAAUAUUCCUGUACCCGUUAUACAACAAAAGUGACGUAUAAGAGAGAUGUCUGGGUGCUGACGGAAUAGCACGCUGAGCUUAGGUUUCGGCCGAAGCGAAGGCAAGCAUCUUGUACCGAGAAAAGCGAGUAUAACGGCUCGUACCGUAAACGGACACACGUAGUUGGGUUGAGUAUACUAAGGCGCUCGAGUGAUCCACGGCUAAGGAACUCGGCAAAUUAACCCUGUAACUUCGGGAGAAAGGGUUCCUGUUAAGCGAUUGACAGGACGCAGAGAAAUGGCCCAGGCGACUGUUUAACAAAAACACAUGGCUAUGCAAAAUCGAAAGAUUAGGUAUAUGGCCUGACACCUGCCCGGUGCUGGAAGGUUAAGAGGAGAUGUCAGGAGCAAUCCAAAGCAUUGAAUUGAAGCCCCAGUAAACGGCGGCCGUAACUAUAACGGUCCUAAGGUAGCGAAAUUCCUUGUCGGGUAAGUUCC